UCACUUUCAAUUCAUCCGCGAUCGCCUAUAUAAGGUGGUGCCGGGUUCGCCCGGCUAUGGCGAUAAACGGCGGCGUGCAAUAGGCGCAGCGGACCCGGGGGCGGUACCCGGCGGCUCCACCAUCUGGGCCGAUCGCCGGCACGAAAUCUGUGUCGGCAAUCGGCUUAACUGACGGGGCCGAACUAGGAUCGACGUGUGUUGAAAAGCGCUGUUUUUGCCCGGCCUGAAUGCGCCGUAAAACCGUUCAAAACCAUAAGUGCCAACGAUAACGAGGCUCUUGCGAUUGCUGCGUAACCCCAAUCCUCACGGAUAAGGUUACCUAGACAAAAGCGCGGCAGGGACCACGCCGGGCAACAGAAGUGGAAACCAGCGGUUUGGGGAGCACCGGGCAACAGAAGCUCCCCACU
This 407-nucleotide transfer-messenger RNA is filed under the name Sphingosinicella rhizophila. It matches the Rfam family "Alphaproteobacteria transfer-messenger RNA". From Rfam's summary of the family: Bacterial tmRNA, also known as 10Sa RNA or SsrA, is named for its dual tRNA and mRNA-like properties. Its role is to liberate the mRNA from a stalled ribosome. The record is from RNAcentral. Lineage: Bacteria; Pseudomonadati; Pseudomonadota; Alphaproteobacteria; Sphingomonadales; Sphingosinicellaceae.